Molecule: ribosomal RNA, 1343 nt
Filed under: uncultured bacterium
Lineage: Bacteria
Description: 16S ribosomal RNA
Rfam family: Bacterial small subunit ribosomal RNA
Source: RNAcentral
GACGAACGCUGGCGGCGUGCUUAACACAUGCAAGUCGAACGGAAAGGCCCUGCUUUUGUGGGGUGCUCGAGUGGCGAACGGGUGAGUAACACGUGAGUAACCUGCCCUUGACUUUGGGAUAACUUCAGGAAACUGGGGCUAAUACCGGAUAGGAGCUCCUGCUGCAUGGUGGGGGUUGGAAAGUUUCGGCGGUUGGGGAUGGACUCGCGGCUUAUCAGCUUGUUGGUGGGGUAGUGGCUUACCAAGGCUUUGACGGGUAGCCGGCCUGAGAGGGUGACCGGCCACAUUGGGACUGAGAUACGGCCCAGACUCCUACGGGAGGCAGCAGUGGGGAAUAUUGCACAAUGGGCGGAAGCCUGAUGCAGCAACGCCGCGUGCGGGAUGACGGCCUUCGGGUUGUAAACCGCUUUCGCCUGUGACGAAGCGUGAGUGACGGUAAUGGGUAAAGAAGCACCGGCUAACUACGUGCCAGCAGCCGCGGUGAUACGUAGGGUGCGAGCGUUGUCCGGAUUUAUUGGGCGUAAAGGGCUCGUAGGUGGUUGAUCGCGUCGGAAGUGUAAUCUUGGGGCUUAACCCUGAGCGCGCUUUCGAUACGGGUUGACUUGAGGAAGGUAGGGGAGAAUGGAAUUCCUGGUGGAGCGGUGGAAUGCGCAGAUAUCAGGAGGAACACCAGUGGCGAAGGCGGUUCUCUGGGCCUUUCCUGGCGCUGAGGAGCGAAAGCGUGGGGAGCGAACAGGCUUAGAUACCCUGGUAGUCCACGCUGUAAACGGUGGGUACUAGGUGUGGGGUCCAUUCCACGGGUUCCGUGCCGUAGCUAACGCUUUAAGUACCCCGCCUGGGGAGUACGGCCGCAAGGCUAAAACUCAAAGGAAUUGACGGGGCCCCGCACAAGCGGCGGAGCAUGCGGAUUAAUUCGAUGCAACGCGUAGAACCUUACCUGGGUUUGACAUGGAUCGGGAGUGCUCAGAGAUGGGUGUGCCUCUUUUGGGGUCGGUUCACAGGUGGUGCAUGGCUGUCGUCAGCUCGUGUCGUGAGAUGUUGGGUUAAGUCCCGCAACGAGCGCAACCCUUGUUCACUGUUGCCAGCACGUUAUGGUGGGGACUCAGUGGAGACCGCCGGGGUCAACUCGGAGGAAGGUGGGGAUGACGUCAAGUCAUCAUGCCCCUUAUGUCCAGGGCUUCACGCAUGCUACAAUGGCUGGUACAGGGAGUGGCGAGCCUGUGAGGGUGAGCGAAUCUCGGAAAGCCGGUCUCAGUUCGGAUUGGGGUCUGCAACUCGACCUCAUGAAGUCGGAGUCGCUAGUAAUCGCAGGUCAGCAACGCUGCGGUGAAUACGUUCCCGGG